GACGAACGCUGGCGGCGUGCUUAACACAUGCAAGUCGAGCGGUAAGGCCCUUUCGGGGGUACACGAGCGGCGAACGGGUGAGUAACACGUGGGCGACCUACCCUCAGCUUCGGGAUAAGCCUGGGAAACUGGGUCUAAUACCGGAUAUGACCUUCCCUCGCAUGGGGGUUGGUGGAAAGUUUUUUCGGUCGUGGGAGUGGCCCGCGGCCUAUCAGCUUGUUGGUGGGGUGGAUGGCCUACCAAGGCGACGACGGGAGCCGGCCUGAGAGGGCGACCGGCCACACUGGGACUGAGAUACGGCCCANACUCCUACGGGAGGCAGCAGUGGGGAAUAUUGCGCAAUGGGCGGAAGCCUGACGCAGCGACGCCGCGU
This 373-nucleotide ribosomal RNA is filed under the name uncultured bacterium. Its description in RNAcentral is "bacterial SSU rRNA". It matches the Rfam family "Bacterial small subunit ribosomal RNA", at positions 28 to 402 of the family's 1533-position model. The record is from RNAcentral.